AUUUAUAUAGUUUAAAAAAAACGUUACAUUUUCAUUGUAAAAUUAGAAAGUUAUCUUAUAAAUA
Molecule: transfer RNA, 64 nt
Filed under: Toxeutes macleayi
Lineage: Eukaryota; Metazoa; Arthropoda; Insecta; Coleoptera; Cerambycidae
Description: tRNA-Glu
Source: RNAcentral